GAUCCGCGCCGCUGCAGAGUUUGAUCCUGGCUCAGGAUGAACGCUAGCGGCAGGCUUAACACAUGCAAGUCGAGGGGCAGCGGGUGUAGCAAUACAUGCCGGCGACCGGCGAAAGGGUGAGUAACGCGUGAGCAACAUGCCCGUGGUUGGGGGAUAGUCGAUGGAAACGUCGCGUAAUACCCCGUAACAUAAAGGACCGCAUGGUUUUUUAUUGAAAGAUUCAUUGACCACGGAUUGGCUCGCGUGCCAUUAGGUAGACGGCGGGGUAACGGCCCACCGUGCCGACGAUGGCUAGGGGUUCUGAGAGGAAGGUCCCCCACAUUGGAACUGAGACACGGUCCAGACUCCUACGGGAGGCAGCAGUGAGGAAUAUUGGACAAUGGCCGGAAGGCUGAUCCAGCCAUGCCGCGUGCGGGAGGACGGCCCUAUGGGUUGUAAACCGCUUUUGCGAGGGAGCAAUAAUCACUACGUGUAGUGAGAUGAGAGUACCUUACGAAUAAGCAUCGGCUAACUCCGUGCCAGCAGCCGCGGUAAUACGGAGGAUGCAAGCGUUAUCCGGAUUUAUUGGGUUUAAAGGGUGCGUAGGCGGCUUGGUAAGCGGGAGGUGAAAUGCCGGCGCUCAACGUCGGAAGUGCCUCCCGAACUGUCGGGCUUGAAUGACACUGCCGUGGGAGGAAUGUGUGGUGUAGCGGUGAAAUGCAUAGAGAUCACACAGAACACCGAUUGCGAAGGCAUCUCACGAAGUGUUGAUUGACGCUGAGGCACGAAAGCGUGGGGAUCAAACAGAUUAGAUACCCUGGUAGUCCACGUAGUAAACGAUGAUGGCUAACCGCUGGGGCGUACGCUUCAGUGGCCAAGCGAAAGCGAUAAGCCAUCCACCUGGGGAGUACGACCGCAAGGUUGAAACUCAAAGGAAUUGACGGGGGCCCGCACAAGCGGAGGAACAUGUGGUUUAAUUCGAUGAUACGCGAGGAACCUUACCCGGGCUCGAACGGCAGCUGAACGAUGCAGAGAUGCAAAGGCCCUUCGGGGCGGCUGUCGAGGUGCUGCAUGGUUGUCGUCAGCUCGUGCCGUGAGGUGUCGGGCUCAAAGUGCCCAUAACGAGCGCA
Molecule: ribosomal RNA, 1109 nt
Filed under: uncultured bacterium
Lineage: Bacteria
Description: bacterial SSU rRNA
Rfam family: Bacterial small subunit ribosomal RNA
Source: RNAcentral